This 432-nucleotide ribosomal RNA is filed under the name uncultured bacterium. Its description in RNAcentral is "bacterial SSU rRNA". It matches the Rfam family "Bacterial small subunit ribosomal RNA", at positions 354 to 796 of the family's 1533-position model. The record is from RNAcentral.
GUCGAGGAUCUUCGGCAAUGGGCGCAAGCCUGACCGAGCGACGCCGCGUGUGCGAUGAAGGCCUUCGGGUUGUAAAGCACUGUCGAGGGGGAGAAAGCCGCAAGGUUGAUCGACCCCUGGAGGAAGCACGGGCUAAGUUCGUGCCAGCAGCCGCGGUAAGACGAACCGUGCGAACGUUGUUCGGAUUCACUGGGCUUAAAGGGCGCGUAGGCGGGUCAUCAAGUCCGGGGUGAAAUCCUCCAGCUUAACUGGAGAAUAGCCUUGGAUACUGGUGGUCUCGAGGGAGGUAGGGGCGGGUGGAACUUCCGGUGGAGCGGUGAAAUGCGUAGAUAUCGGAAGGAACGCCGGUGGCGAAAGCGACCCGCUGGACCUCUUCUGACGCUGAGGCGCGAAAGCCAGGGGAGCAAACGGGAUUAGAAACCCCAGUAGUCC